UGCUUGGGAAUCUGCCCAGUAGUGGGGGACAACACGGGGAAACGUCGUGCUAAUACCGCAUAUACCCUACGGGGGAAAGUGGAGGAUCUUCGGACUUCACGCUAUUGGAUGAGCCCAAGUCGGAUUAGCUUGUUGGUGGGGUAAUGGCCUACCAAGGCAACGAUCCGUAGCUGGUCUGAGAGGACGAUCAGCCACACUGGGACUGAGACACGGCCCAGACUCCUACGGGAGGCAGCAGUGGGGAAUAUUGGACAAUGGGGGCAACCCUGAUCCAGCAAUGCCGCGUGUGUGAAGAAGGCC
RNAcentral lists this ribosomal RNA (300 nucleotides) under uncultured Piscirickettsiaceae bacterium. RNAcentral's name for it is "bacterial SSU rRNA". It matches the Rfam family "Bacterial small subunit ribosomal RNA", at positions 114 to 416 of the family's 1533-position model. The record is from RNAcentral. Lineage: Bacteria; Pseudomonadati; Pseudomonadota; Gammaproteobacteria; Thiotrichales; Piscirickettsiaceae.